RNAcentral lists this ribosomal RNA (458 nucleotides) under Theileria annulata. RNAcentral's name for it is "SSU rRNA". It matches the Rfam family "Eukaryotic small subunit ribosomal RNA", at positions 486 to 984 of the family's 1831-position model. Lineage: Eukaryota; Apicomplexa; Aconoidasida; Piroplasmida; Theileriidae. The record is from RNAcentral.
CGGGGCUUAAAGUCUUGUAAUUUGAAUGAUGGGAAUUUAAACCUCUUCCAGAGUAUCAAUUGGAGGGCAAGUCUGGUGCCAGCAGCCGCGGUAAUUCCAGCUCCAAUAGCGUAUAUUAAAAUUGUUGCAGUUAAAAAGCUCGUAGUUGAAUUUCUGCUGCAUUGCUUGUGUCCCUCUGGGGUCUGUGCAUGUGGCUUUUUUCGGACGGAGUUUCUUUGUCUGAAUGUUUACUUUGAGAAAAUUAGAGUGCUCAAAGCAGGCUUUCGCCUUGAAUAGUUUAGCAUGGAAUAAUAAAGUAGGACUUUGGUUCUAUUUUGUUGGUUUUAGGUACCAAAGUAAUGGUUAAUAGGAACAGUUGGGGGCAUUCGUAUUUAACUGUCAGAGGUGAAAUUCUUAGAUUUGUUAAAGACGAACUACUGCGAAAGCAUUUGCCAAGGAUGUUUUCAUUAAUCAAGAAC